Molecule: ribosomal RNA, 464 nt
Filed under: Fusobacterium sp. oral taxon A11
Lineage: Bacteria; Fusobacteriati; Fusobacteriota; Fusobacteriia; Fusobacteriales; Fusobacteriaceae
Description: bacterial SSU rRNA
Rfam family: Bacterial small subunit ribosomal RNA
Source: RNAcentral
GAUGAACGCUGACAGAAUGCUUAACACAUGCAAGUCUACUUGAAUUGGUUUUUUAACUUAGAUUUGGGUGGCGGACGGGUGAGUAACGCGUAAAGAACUUGCCUCACAGCUAGGGACAACAUUUGGAAACGAAUGCUAAUACCUGAUAUUAUGAUUUUAAGGCAUCUUAGAAUUAUGAAAGCUAUAAGCGCUGUGAGAGAGCUUUGCGUCCCAUUAGCUAGUUGGAGAGGUAACGGCUCACCAAGGCGAUGAUGGGUAGCCGGCCUGAGAGGGUGAACGGCCACAAGGGGACUGAGACACGGCCCUUACUCCUACGGGAGGCAGCAGUGGGGAAUAUUGGACAAUGGACCAAGAGUCUGAUCCAGCAAUUCUGUGUGCACGAUGACGUUUUUCGGAAUGUAAAGUGCUUUUCAGUUGGGAAGAAAAAAAUGACGGUACCAACAGAAGAAGUGACGGCUAAUACC